Molecule: ribosomal RNA, 253 nt
Filed under: uncultured bacterium
Lineage: Bacteria
Description: partial 16S ribosomal RNA
Rfam family: Bacterial small subunit ribosomal RNA
Source: RNAcentral
UACGAAGGGGGCUAGCGUUGCUCGGAAUCACUGGGCGUAAAGCGCACGUAGGCGGAUUGUUAAGUCAGGGGUGAAAUCCUGGAGCUCAACUCCAGAACUGCCUUUGAUACUGGCGAUCUCGAGUCCGGGAGAGGUGAGUGGAACUGCGAGUGUAGAGGUGAAAUUCGUAGAUAUUCGCAAGAACACCAGUGGCGAAGGCGGCUCACUGGCCCGGUACUGACGCUGAGGUGCGAAAGCGUGGGUAGCAAACGGG